UGCGGAGGAUCAUUAUUGAAUUGAACGGGGGCGCUUGGUCGGGCCUGCACCGGUGGAGACGCCGUGCUGCGGUCUGCCUCGCGCCCUCUUCCAAACUCAAACCCCUGUGAACCUUUGGGAGGGAUGCGCCGAGUCCGGAGCGCCCUCCCGUUUUACAACCAACUCUGAUGUCUAUUUGAAUGUUGAGAUUCGGGGCAGCCCCGAUGUCUAAUCGAAAACAACUUUCAACAACGGAUCUCUUGGCUCUCGCAUCGAUGAAGAACGCAGCGAAAUGCGAUAAGUAAUGUGAAUUGCAGAAUUCAGUGAAUCAUCGAAUCUUUGAACGCACCUUGCGCCCUUUGGUAUUCCGAGGGGCAUGCCUGUUUGAGUGUCUUGAAAUCAUCAAGCCUUCGGCGCUCGUCGUCGCUGGGCUUGGACUUGGGGGCUUUGCUGCCGCUUUUGCGACGGCUCCCCUUAAAUGAAUCGGUCGGGCUAUCGUGUGCCGGUCCACGGGCGUUGUAUUACCCUCGUCCUAGGAUGGUGCUCGACUAGAAGGCCCUUCCUUGACCUGCCUCUGGAGCGGCGGUCAAAGGCGCUUGCGCCACUUGUGAUCUGACCUCAAAUCAGGUAGGACUACCCGCUGAACUUAAGCAUAUCAAUAAGCGGAGGAAAAGAAACUAACAAGGAUUCCCCUAGUAACUGCGAGUGAAGCGGGAAGAGCUCAAAUUUGAAAUCUGGCGGCUUUGCCGUCCGAGUUGUAUUCUGGAGAAGCGUUUUCCGUGCUGGACCGUGUACAAGUCCCUUGGAACAGGGCGUCAUAGAGGGUGAGAAUCCCGUCUUUGACACGGACUGCCAGCGCUCUGUGAUGCGCUCUCGAAGAGUCGAGUUGUUUGGGAAUGCAGCUCAAAAUGGGUGGUAAAUUCCAUCUAAAGCUAAAUAUUGGCGAGAGACCGAUAGCGAACAAGUACCGUGAGGGAAAGAUGAAAAGCACUUUGGAAAGAGAGUGAAACAGUACGUGAAAUUGUUGAAAGGGAAACGCUUGAAGUCAGUCGCGUCUUCUGGAACUCAGCCGUGCUUCUGCUAGGCGCAUUUUCCAGUUUGACGGGUCAGCAUCGGUUUCGGUGGGCAGACAAAGGCGCAGGGAAGGUGGCCGCUCCGGUGGUGUUAUAGCCCUGCGUUGUACGUGCCCGCUGGGACCGAGGAAUCCGGCUC
RNAcentral lists this ribosomal RNA (1191 nucleotides) under uncultured fungus. Its description in RNAcentral is "eukaryotic LSU rRNA". The stretch from base 593 to 1191 matches the Rfam family "Eukaryotic large subunit ribosomal RNA", at positions 1 to 601 of the family's 3401-position model. Lineage: Eukaryota; Fungi. The record is from RNAcentral.